GGCUGUUGCUGGUCCUCGAAUGGGGACACGUGCACGCUCUGUUUACACAUCCACUCACACCUGUGCACCCUCUGUAGUUUUACGGUCUGGGGGACCCUGUCUUCCUUCCGUAGUUCUACGUCUUUACACACACACUGUAAUAAAGUCUUAUGGAAUGUAUGCCGCGUCUAACGCAACACAAUACAACUUUCAGCAACGGAUCUCUUGGCUCUCGCAUCGAUGAAGAACGCAGCGAAAUGCGAUAAGUAAUGUGAAUUGCAGAAUUCAGUGAAUCAUCGAAUCUUUGAACGCACCUUGCGCCCCUUGGAUAUUCCGAGGGGCAUGCCUGUUUGAGUAUCAUGAACACCUCAACUCUCAUGGUUUGCCGUGACGAGCUUGGACCUUGGGGGUUUUGCUGGCCUGUGGUCGGCUCCUCUCAAAUGAAUCAGCCUCCCAGUGUUUGGUGGCAUCACGAGUGUGAUAACUAUCUACGCUCGCGGUUGCCCACCAGGUAACCUUUGGUGACAAAGGUUCGCUGGAGCUCACAGAUGUCUCUCCUUAGCGAGGACRGCUUUUUAACGUUCGAUCUCAAAUCAGGUAGGACUACCCGCUGAACUUAAGCAUAUCAAUAAGCGGAGGAAAARAAACUAACAAGGAUUCCCCUAGUAACUGCGAGUGAAGCGGGAARAGCUCAAAUUUAAAAUCUGGCGUGCCUCUGGUCGUCCGARUUGUA
Molecule: ribosomal RNA, 712 nt
Filed under: uncultured fungus
Lineage: Eukaryota; Fungi
Description: eukaryotic LSU rRNA
Rfam family: 5.8S ribosomal RNA (bases 185-339)
Source: RNAcentral